Molecule: ribosomal RNA, 230 nt
Filed under: uncultured bacterium
Lineage: Bacteria
Description: partial 16S ribosomal RNA
Rfam family: Bacterial small subunit ribosomal RNA
Source: RNAcentral
UAAAGCGCGCGUAGGUGGUUUGUUAAGUUGGAUGUGAAAUCCCCGGGCUCAACCUGGGAACUGCAUCCAAAACUGGCAAGCUAGAGUAUGGUAGAGGGUGGUGGAAUUUCCUGUGUAGCGGUGAAAUGCGUAGAUAUAGGAAGGAACACCAGUGGCGAAGGCGACCACCUGGACUGAUACUGACACUGAGGUGCGAAAGCGUGGGGAGCAAACAGGAUUAGAUCCCGAGU